RNAcentral lists this ribosomal RNA (352 nucleotides) under bacterium T-1-0-5B. RNAcentral describes it as "bacterial SSU rRNA". It matches the Rfam family "Bacterial small subunit ribosomal RNA", at positions 523 to 873 of the family's 1533-position model. The record is from RNAcentral.
AUACGUAGGUGGCAAGCGUUGUCCGGAUUUAUUGGGCGUAAAGCGAGCGCAGGCGGUUUCUUAAGUCUGAUGUGAAAGCCCCCGGCUCAACCGGGGAGGGUCAUUGGAAACUGGGAGACUUGAGUGCAGAAGAGGAGAGUGGAAUUCCAUGUGUAGCGGUGAAAUGCGUAGAUAUAUGGAGGAACACCAGUGGCGAAGGCGGCUCUCUGGUCUGUAACUGACGCUGAGGCUCGAAAGCGUGGGGAGCAAACAGGAUUAGAUACCCUGGUAGUCCACGCCGUAAACGAUGAGUGCUAAGUGUUGGAGGGUUUCCGCCCUUCAGUGCUGCAGCUAACGCAUUAAGCACUCCGCC